This is a long non-coding RNA of Cyprinus carpio (common carp), 1232 nucleotides long. RefSeq lists it as uncharacterized. The transcript has 3 exons. The record is from RefSeq and is a predicted model, not a curated record. NCBI's taxonomy places the organism in Eukaryota, Metazoa, Chordata, Actinopteri, Cypriniformes, Cyprinidae.
UUCUCAAGAUCACAUCAAAAUAUUUGUAUUUAUUCAUCCGGUGUCAUUCCAACAGCAAAACUAACCGAAAAGCAGAGUUUUCCACCAAUGUCAAGCGAGAUAACAAAUUGGACGCUUUCUUAGCAAAACCUCACAUUUUACUUAAACUUCACAUGACGUCACCGCCACCACAUAAGACAUUUCUAAACUUUCUGCCUGUAACGACAUGUGCAGGUCGAGUCCUAAGAACACACGGAUCCGCCAGUUCAAAUUAACCAAGAUGGCGUGAGGCUUGUUGUUUAGAGGGCAGAAAAAAUGGAGGAUAUUGUAAUAUACACAAAGGGAUAAAUUUCAACAACUCGGCCAGGCGGCAGCUGCUGCUCUUUAAGGAAGCAACAAAGAUAAGAGCACCGCGAAGCUCCAACUCAACACCAGCGACCCGCUCCGACCGAGCAGGCGAUUUCCCCAUCGAAAAUACGAAACCGUCUGCAUUUAACAGCUUUUAUCAAAAGGAUUUGUAAAGUAAAUGCUUUUAUCAUGUUGUCUCAAUGAAGAGCUGUUAGCUUUUGCCAUCAUCUGAGAGACGGACAUUAAACAGACCAAAGAGAUGAAGCCUGGCAAAAGGGAUGCUUAUGGAGGGACAUGGACAGGCAGGCAGACCUCCAGGGAUCAGCGCUCCGGAGAGUGGGAGGACAAGAUGAGAUGAUGGUGUGCAAGUCGUGUGUCUGAACAUGUGUGCAUACGGUCCAUGUUUAUCUGUGAUCAUCAGACCACCCUGGCCACAGUGCAUCAUCCCUAUGUGGGGAAAGUCUUAAUAUGGUGGCGAUGAGGUAAACAGAUAGGAAGUGAUGGAGUGGCAGACCCACGGGGGAUAACCACAUGAGGGGUGACAGACCACUGACAUCAGCCCUUGUUCUCUUGCUCGCUCGCUCUCUCCAUCUCUCUCUUCGCCACACACACACUCAUUUCCAGGAAGGGGUCAUUAAUGUGAGGGAAAAAAACAAAUCCAGUCAUGGCUUUAAAAUGGAGUAUCUUCUCAUAGAGAUGCAAUCAUUCCUAACGGGUCUGAGUCAGGCUGAAGAGAACAGCACAAAGAAGCUUUUAAUUCCUCCAUUUAGGAGACAAAAUACAUCAUUUUAUCAUUAAAGCACUGUUUGGAGGGGAAAUGGGUACUUUUUAGAUUUUAUUUGAGAGUGGCUCUCUUAUGUUGUAGCAGGGUUCAACUUAACCUGACCAAUAAACCGAGAAAAUUA